GUUUUUAUCAGGUAAAGCGAAUGAUUAGAAGCUCUGGGGAUGAAACAUCCUCGACUUAUUCUCAAACUUUUAAAUAGGUAAGAUGAUUGCAGUACUUAAUUGACUGUCAGUCUCUUGAAUAGUAAGUUCUUAGUGGGCCAUUUUUGGUAAGCAGAACUGGCGAUGUGGGAUGAACCAAACGUAAAGUUAAAAGUGCCUAAAAGUACGUUCAUCAGAUACCACAAAAGGUGUUGAUUCAUCUUGACAGUUGGACAGUGGCCAUGGAAGUCGGAAUCUGCUAAGGAGUGUGUAACAACUCACCAACCGAAUGAAUUAGCCCUGAAAAUGGAUGGCGCUUAAACGUACUACUUAUACUUUACCAUUAAGAUAAAUGCUAAAUCUUAAUGAGUAGGAGGGCGUAUUGAUAAUUUAGAAGACUGAUAGUGAUAUUGGUUGGAAUUAUCUUUAGUGCAGAUCUUGGUGGUAGUAGCAAAUAUUCAAUAGAGAACAUUGAAGAC
RNAcentral lists this ribosomal RNA (497 nucleotides) under uncultured eukaryote. Its description in RNAcentral is "eukaryotic LSU rRNA". It matches the Rfam family "Eukaryotic large subunit ribosomal RNA", at positions 997 to 1491 of the family's 3401-position model. The record is from RNAcentral.